Molecule: long non-coding RNA, 999 nt
Organism: Paramisgurnus dabryanus
Lineage: Eukaryota; Metazoa; Chordata; Actinopteri; Cypriniformes; Cobitidae
Source: RefSeq, a predicted model, not a curated record
UGUACCACUAGUACCUCCACUAGGUCCCCUGUACCCCUAAAUCUCUGUGUGAAGCCACCAUCACCACCACCAUCAACCAGCCAGUGCAGUAUAACUACCACCAGGCCCCCAGUUCCACUUACCCCCAGUGUUAGUGUCCCACUGUCUGCCACUCUUCAAGCAAGUGAAGCCACUCAAAGGUCAUCUACCUCCAUCCAGUCAGACAGCCAGGAAUCACAUCAAGAAAUGACACAAAAUUACACUAUUGCUACUGGACCUAACAAAAACUUAUCAACAUCUGUACUUCAGGAACAAACCGGCAUUCUAUCAGAAGCUUCGAACAGCAUUUACACAGAAGGGGUACAACCUGUCAACAGAAAAAAUUCGCAAAAAACUUUCAAACAUGUUAACAACAUACAAAAGGGUGAAGGACAGACGACGUGCCACUGGUGAGGGGAAGAAUGCCUGGGAGUACUAUACACUAAUGGAUGAGUUAUUUGGCUCAUCAGGGAUUGGCACUGCACCACCAGGGACAAUUUACUCCACGCCGUUAUUUUCGGAAGCAACAUCCUCAAACAAAUCUACUACACUUCAGGACCAACAACCCCCACCCGUUCAAGACCAGCCGGCUGAGGAUGAACAUCCUGGAACCUCAGCAAUGCAGAGCACAACCAAUCCUACCAGCAGGCAGAGGAGGCAAACGCAAUCCUCUCAGUUUUUGGAGUCGUAUGAGGCACAUGCAGAAAGGAGGACUGCUGUGCUUGAGACACUGGUGAGGCCUGACUUUGAGAGAUGGCGGCGACUAAAGGAGAGGCUAGGCGAUCCUUUGAAAGGAAGAUGCUGACCAGCAUGGGAACAAUUGUGGAAGAGCUAAAAAAAUAAGUAAACAUCAAGAGCAAAUUAUACACUUAUUACAAAAUCAACCUCAAUAAAAUGUUUUCAAAAAUAAACAUUGCAUUUUGACUCUUAAAUGUUUACUACCUGUGCAAAGGUUCCCUUUUGUUGGACUUAUUCUUGUGU